RNAcentral lists this ribosomal RNA (1346 nucleotides) under uncultured bacterium. RNAcentral describes it as "partial 16S ribosomal RNA". It matches the Rfam family "Bacterial small subunit ribosomal RNA", at positions 28 to 1381 of the family's 1533-position model. The record is from RNAcentral.
GACGAACGCUGGCGGCGUGCUUAACACAUGCAAGUCGAACGGAAAGGCCCUGCUUUUGUGGGGUGCUCGAGUGGCGAACGGGUGAGUAACACGUGAGUAACCUGCCCUUGACUUUGGGAUAACUUCAGGAAACUGGGGCUAAUACCGGAUAGGAGCUCCUGCUGCAUGGUGGGGGUUGGAAAGUUUCGGCGGUUGGGGAUGGACUCGCGGCUUAUCAGCUUGUUGGUGGGGUAGUGGCUUACCAAGGCUUUGACGGGUAGCCGGCCUGAGAGGGUGACCGGCCACAUUGGGACUGAGAUACGGCCCAGACUCCUACGGGAGGCAGCAGUGGGGAAUAUUGCACAAUGGGCGGAAGCCUGAUGCAGCAACGCCGCGUGCGGGAUGACGGCCUUCGGGUUGUAAACCGCUUUCGCCUGUGACGAAGCGUGAGUGACGGUAAUGGGUAAAGAAGCACCGGCUAACUACGUGCCAGCAGCCGCGGUGAUACGUAGGGUGCGAGCGUUGUCCGGAUUUAUUGGGCGUAAAGGGCUCGUAGGUGGUUGAUCGCGUCGGAAGUGUAAUCUUGGGGCUUAACCCUGAGCGUGCUUUCGAUACGGGUUGACUUGAGGAAGGUAGGGGAGAAUGGAAUUCCUGGUGGAGCGGUGGAAUGCGCAGAUAUCAGGAGGAACACCAGUGGCGAAGGCGGUUCUCUGGGCCUUUCCUGACGCUGAGGAGCGAAAGCGUGGGGAGCGAACAGGCUUAGAUACCCUGGUAGUCCACGCUGUAAACGGUGGGUACUAGGUGCGGGGUCCAUUCCACGGGUUCCGUGCCGUAGCUAACGCUUUAAGUACCCCGCCUGGGGAGUACGGCCGCAAGGCUAAAACUCAAAGGAAUUGACGGGGCCCCGCACAAGCGGCGGAGCAUGCGGAUUAAUUCGAUGCAACGCGUAGAACCUUACCUGGGUUUGACAUGGAUCGGGAGUGCUCAGAGAUGGGUGUGCCUCUUUUGGGGUCGGUUCACAGGUGGUGCAUGGCUGUCGUCAGCCCGUGUCGUGAGAUGUUGGGUUAAGUCCCGCAACGAGCGCAACCCUUGUUCACUGUUGCCAGCACGUUAUGGUGGGGACUCAGUGGAGACCGCCGGGGUCAACUCGGAGGAAGGUGGGGAUGACGUCAAGUCAUCAUGCCCCUUAUGUCCAGGGCUUCACGCAUGCUACAAUGGCUGGUACAGAGAGUGGCGAGCCUGUGAGGGUGAGCGAAUCUCGGAAAGCCGGUCUCAGUUCGGAUUGGGGUCUGCAACUCGACCUCAUGAAGUCGGAGUCGCUAGUAAUCGCAGAUCAGCAACGCUGCGGUGAAAACGUUCCCGGGGCU